GCCAUGCAAGGCAAGAGGUGACUCCCACGACCAGUGCGGGUCACAGCACAGGCGACAGAAGCUAUGGCAGAGGCACCUGAACCCUCUCGGAGGGGAAAGCCAGGCUCCCAACCUCAGCUCGCCGCCUGGAGCCGGGAACCGAGGAGAGCAGGGCCUUCGCCCUCCCCGAUGGACACUCGGCAGGCCCCGCCCAGCGCCCCUGAUUGGACGAAGCGCCGGGCCCCGCCCCCUCAGCCUUUUGAGUCAGGGUCUACCCUGUGGCCCAGGCUGCCCUCCAGUGAUGCCAUCAUGACUCAGUGCAACCUCAAACUCCCAGGUUCAAGCGAUCUUCCAUCCUGACCUCCAAAAGGGCUGGAUUAUACACAUAAGCCAUGUCACACUUUAUAUGUUUCUAGGGAAGCUUUUCUAAGAAUAAAUACAUUGGAACUA
RNAcentral lists this non-coding RNA (429 nucleotides) under Pan troglodytes (chimpanzee). The record is from RNAcentral. Lineage: Eukaryota; Metazoa; Chordata; Mammalia; Primates; Hominidae.